AGUCCUAAGGGUCACCCAGCAACACUGUGCUCACCGUUGAUAGAUUGAGGUAUCUAUCAAACUAGUGGGUCUACCAUCAAGUCCCAGAAGGUCAACCCUACUGGAAGAGAAAAGGGUCAGAGACAACUGUGACAUCCUCAGGAAAAAAAAACAUGCGGAAACCCACAGAACUUUGCUCUACUUCAGAAAUCAGCAGCUUCUGAUUGGAAUUCUUGGUCUGUUUGCAGAAGAGUAUAUCUCACAUGUGCAUCUGCAAGCCUGGGAGAGAUUUCCUCCCCUCACUUCCCAGUGCACCUCAAUACGCCAAAAUCGACUAGGGGCUGUCAUCGUCACCUGUAGAAAGGGGGCUGCUCAGGGAAGGGAAGGCUGUCACAGAUGAGCGCUCCUCCGGGUGGAUGGUGGCUAUCGGCGCCCGAGAAAUGCCAGGCAUCCUCCCUCAGAGGAUUUGCUCCGCCUGGAAAGGGGCAUGGUGAUGACAGGUGCAGGAUUCUCCUCCAAGGUGGAUUCCAGCUACCCCAACACAUAUUGGACCUCAAGCAUUCAGGGAUGUGGCUUCCUCUGUUUGCAGAAAGUCCAAUGACCCAGCUUUGGCAGCAUGCACCCUUCGAUAGCUCAGCUGGUAGAGCGGAGGACUGUAGGCUGUACAGAUAUUUGUGGACAUCUUUAGGUCGCUGGUUCGAUUCCGGCUCGAAGGAAGUGCCUGAUAUUUUUGCACUCGAUGCUGCCUGGCCACACCUGUGCAUGGUUAAAAGCCUUGCAGCCUCCAAGUAGUAACCACACUCUCCCAGGCAAAACACCCUUGAAGUCUUUCCCCAUCACCUAGCUCCCCACGCCUUGCUUUGUGACCCAGCCAAUCCCCCUAUUCGUGCUGCCAAAGCUGGGCCAUUUGACUUUCUGCAAGAAACAUAAGACCUGACCUCGAAUUGCAACAUAUUCCUAACCUUAUUAGGUAAAAGGACAGUGGAUAAAUGUCAGUCUUUUUCAGAUGGAAAUCAAGAGGUGUAAUCCUUUCAAGUCCACCCUUUGCCUGCCAGUCCCACAUCAUAAACAAACUGAAAUACCUUGUGACAUUCUGAGUCAAUCUCCUUGUUUAGUAUCAGUG
This is a long non-coding RNA of Callithrix jacchus (white-tufted-ear marmoset), 1102 nucleotides long. RefSeq lists it as uncharacterized. The record is from RefSeq and is a predicted model, not a curated record. NCBI's taxonomy places the organism in Eukaryota, Metazoa, Chordata, Mammalia, Primates, Cebidae.